This 466-nucleotide ribosomal RNA is filed under the name uncultured bacterium. RNAcentral's name for it is "partial 16S ribosomal RNA". It matches the Rfam family "Bacterial small subunit ribosomal RNA", at positions 28 to 507 of the family's 1533-position model. The record is from RNAcentral.
GAUGAACGCUGGCGGCGUGCUUAACACAUGCAAGUCGAACGAUGAAGCCCAGCUUGCUGGGUGGAUUAGUGGCGAACGGGUGAGUAACACGUGAGUAACCUGCCCUUAACUCUGGGAUAAGCCUGGGAAACUGGGUCUAAUACCGGAUAGGAGCGUCCACCGCAUGGUGGGUGUUGGAAAGAUUUAUCGGUUUUGGAUGGACUCGCGGCCUAUCAGCUUGUUGGUGAGGUAAUGGCUCACCAAGGCGAAGACGGGUAGCCGGCCUGAGGGGGUGACCGGCCACACUGGGACUGAGACACGGCCCAGACUCCUACGGGAGGCAGCAGUGGGGAAUAUUGCACAAUGGGCGCAAGCCUGAUGCAGCGACGCCGCGUGAGGGAUGACGGCCUUCGGGUUGGAAACCUCUUUCAGUAGGGAAGAAGCGAAAGUGACGGUACCUGCAGAAGAAGCACCGGCUAACUACGUG